RNAcentral lists this unclassified non-coding RNA (594 nucleotides) under Aspergillus europaeus. Its description in RNAcentral is "sequence contains 18S rRNA gene, ITS1, 5.8S rRNA gene, ITS2, 28S rRNA gene". The stretch from base 223 to 376 matches the Rfam family "5.8S ribosomal RNA". Lineage: Eukaryota; Fungi; Ascomycota; Eurotiomycetes; Eurotiales; Aspergillaceae. The record is from RNAcentral.
UCGUAACAAGGUUUCCGUAGGUGAACCUGCGGAAGGAUCAUUACCGAGUGAGGACCUAACCGGUCCAACCUCCCACCCGUGUCUAUCGUACCUUGUUGCUUCGGCGGGCCCGCCAUUCGUGGCCGCCGGGGGGCAUUUCGCCCCCGGGCCCGCGCCCGCCGGAGACACCAACACGAACACUGUCUGAAGGUUGCAGUCUGAGUCGAUUUAUUUAAUCGUUAAAACUUUCAACAACGGAUCUCUUGGUUCCGGCAUCGAUGAAGAACGCAGCGAAAUGCGAUAAUUAAUGUGAAUUGCAGAAUUCAGUGAAUCAUCGAGUCUUUGAACGCACAUUGCGCCCCCUGGUAUUCCGGGGGGCAUGCCUGUCCGAGCGUCAUUGCUGCCCUCAAGCACGGCUUGUGUGUUGGGUCGCCGUCCCCUUCCCGGGGGACGGGCCCGAAAGGCAGCGGCGGCACCGCGUCCGGUCCUCGAGCGUAUGGGGCUUUGUCACCCGCUCUGUAGGCCCGGCCGGCGCCUGCCGACCACCAACCUUUUUUUAACCAGGUUGACCUCGGAUCAGGUAGGGAUACCCGCUGAACUUAAGCAUAUCAAUAA